CCAAGAAGUAAAUCCACUUACACCACCAACGCCAGGAUAUUACGAGCUUCUAGCUUAAAACCCAAAGGACUUGACGGUACCCCACCCUACUAGAGGAGCCUGUUCUAUAAUCGAUAACCCACGAUAUACCAAACCAUUUCUUGCCUCAGCCUGUAUACCUCCGUCGUAAGCUUACCCUGUGAAUGCACAUAGUAGGCUCAAAGGCCUAACACCCAAACGUCAGGUCAAGGUGCAGCCUAUGAAAUGGAAGCUAUGGGCUACAAUUUCUAAUCUUAGAACUAAUCAAAAUACUACAUGAAAUAUAGUUAUAAAGAAGGAUUUAGCAGUAAAUAAGGAAUAGAGAGCCUUAUUGAACCUGAGCUCUGGGGUAUGUACAAACCGCCCGUCACCCUCUUCAAUAGACCAACUUUAGAAGAGGUAAGUCGUAACAUGGUAAGUGUACUGGAAAGUGCACUUAGAUCA
Molecule: ribosomal RNA, 462 nt
Filed under: Pseudophilautus wynaadensis
Lineage: Eukaryota; Metazoa; Chordata; Amphibia; Anura; Rhacophoridae
Description: partial 12S ribosomal RNA
Rfam family: Bacterial small subunit ribosomal RNA
Source: RNAcentral